GCGCCGGUGGUGUAAGGCGAACAUCGCUGCCCGGAAAGCAGAAGAUGCGGGUUCGAGUCCCGCCUAGCGCA
This is a non-coding RNA of Heligmosomoides polygyrus, 71 nucleotides long. The record is from Rfam. NCBI's taxonomy places the organism in Eukaryota, Metazoa, Nematoda, Chromadorea, Rhabditida, Heligmosomidae.